CCUACGGGUGGCUGCAGUGGGGAAUAUUGGACAAUGGGCGAAAGCCUGAUCCAGCCAUGCCGCGUGUGUGAAGAAGGCCUUCGGGUUGUAAAGCACUCUCAGUGGGGAAGAAAGCCUUGGGGCUAAUACCCUCGAGGAAGGACAUCACCCACAGAAGAAGCACCGGCUAACUCCGUGCCAGCAGCCGCGGUAAUACGGAGGGUGCGGGCGUUAAUCGGAAUUACUGGGCGUAAAGCGCGCGUAGGCGGUCUGAUAAGCCGGUUGUGAAAGCCCCGGGCUCAACCUGGGAACGGCAUCCGGAACUGUCAGGCUAGGGUGCAGGCGAGGAAGACAGAAUUCCCGGUGUAGCGGUGAAAUGCGUAGAGAUCGGGAGGAAUACCAGUGGCGAAGGCGGCCUUCUGGACUGACACUGACGCUGAGGUGCGAAAGCGUGGGUAGCAAACAGGAUUAGAUACCCAUAGUC
RNAcentral lists this ribosomal RNA (463 nucleotides) under Vreelandella stevensii. RNAcentral's name for it is "partial 16S ribosomal RNA". It matches the Rfam family "Bacterial small subunit ribosomal RNA", at positions 338 to 795 of the family's 1533-position model. The record is from RNAcentral. Lineage: Bacteria; Pseudomonadati; Pseudomonadota; Gammaproteobacteria; Oceanospirillales; Halomonadaceae.